RNAcentral lists this long non-coding RNA (385 nucleotides) under Nicotiana benthamiana. RNAcentral describes it as "long non-coding RNA (NBEN_LNC023710)". The record is from RNAcentral. Lineage: Eukaryota; Viridiplantae; Streptophyta; Magnoliopsida; Solanales; Solanaceae.
UAAACUCCUGUCAAAUAUCAAGCCUUCCUUUGGGCCGACUUAAUAUUCACAUGGAAAACCAAAUAAUUGUCACAUAUUUAUCACCACAAGCAUAUUCGAAUUCCUUCCAAAUAACAACCUUCCUUUGGGCCGGUGUUAAACGCAUGGAAGACUAAUCUUAUAUUUCAUGAUCAAUCAAUCUACACAAUAGAGGUUACUUUGGCAACAUAAUGCUUCAAUUGACCUUCUUCCAUGGUGGAAGUGGCCGUAAGAGUUCAAGAUUAAUCAAUCUACAAAAAAGAGGUUACUUUUGCAAUAUAAUGCUUCAAUUAACUAAUUUAAAAUAUUAGAUGCUAAACCAUAUAGUUCCUUAAGCCAUAUAUUGAAUCUUAACUUAAUAUGUUAC